UCUACAUUCUGUGUUGUGCGAUAACAAUUUACUUUUUCAAAUCAUACUAUUAUUAUUUAUUAGUUUAUUACUUGUAAUAUACAGUCAUAUUCUGUUUUAAAAUUUUUCAGUUUUACGAAUUAUUACACCUCGAGUCAUAGUGCCUAGAUAGUUCUUUGUGAGUGACAAAUCAACAAAUACUUAAAGGAAAUCUAAUGAUCUAAUCUUUCACAAAAAAGAGACACUAAAAUUCAUAAUAAUGGAUUUUGAAUUUUCAAUGGAGAAUAAAACAAGCUUGGUGGUUGUCUCCCGCGCUAUCUCAAAUAGCUUAAAUCGCUUCAAAAUUUGAAAACUUGAGGGUAGACCUUUAUUGUUACCCCUUAACUAAGAGGUAAGACCUAUGAGGAAUCAAGAGCUAUAGGUAACUAUUAAAGAGAUAAAGAGAAUAUUCAGAUGUAAAACGGAGAUACGAGAUACAUGUCUUGACCAGUUGAAUAAGAGUCUAAAACAAUCUUUAACACACGGGAAUGAUAUUUGCAUCAAAAAGAUUUUUAUCAGAUAUGUCUAUAGAUAGAGACAUUAACUCAAUUUAAUCUUAUAUUGAUGGAGAAUUGAAUGAUUUUUUAGUGGUGAACAAUCUAUGUUCAUAUGAUUCGAUAAAAUAUAAUAGAAUUUGUUCAUGUCAUUUUGAUUCUUCAAAAUGUAUUAAUUCUAAAUCUAAAAGACUAUAAGGUCGGAUGAAGUUUCAAGUUUAACUCCUGCUAAAUUUAAAUAGUAUAUUAAAAUUGUUGUGGAAUUAUGAAUGUCAACAUACUGCUAAAUAUCAGAUUUGUUAUGUCAACUUAUUUUCAAAAUAUUUAAGUACAGGUUUUUAGAAAUGAGAAGGUGCUAGAAAUAAAAUGAUGCCAAAAGAAUCUAACAAAAAAAAAUAAAAUAAAUGCUCCAGUACAUUUAUUUUAUACCAACGGUCAGUCAACUAAAGAUCCAAUAUUUAAUUUUCAAAUUGAUUUACUUGAUUUAUAUAAAAUAUUACUGUUUUAGAACUAUUACAAAAAAGGUAAAUAAUAUUAUAUUUUAUAAUUUGACAUGUUUAAUUGUAUUACUAUGAUAACAAAAUUAAAAUCAUUAAAGUUCUAGCUGGCAACUAAAGAAAAAUAUACUGCAGAAUGCUGUGAAAAUAGUAACUCUAAUUCCACAAUUCAAGAUUCAUUUGAAAUAUUUAUCAUGAUAACUCGAUAACAAUAUCAAAUAUUUUACAUGAAUAUCCACCUAAAAAUUAUGAAUGUAAUAACUUUGCUUCCACUACUCCAUAAACUGAUAAUAUGAUGAUGUAAUUAAUAAUUACCUAUAUAUAACUAAUUAUACAUAGGUUUUAAACAUGUGGGUCUAACUAUUGAUGAUGUAUCACAUAAUCGUAAUUAUAAUUUUAAUGCACCUGUUACUGCCACAUAUGGAAGCAAAUUAUUUUUAUCAUGUGACAUCAGUUAUAUAUCAGUAACAACUAAUUCAAGGCCUCCCUCACCUCUUGCCUUACUUACAAUUCGAACAUAUGACUAAAAAUAGCUAUUGAUAGGUUUCAAAAUCAUAUUCACCUAAUCCAACAACGAGGAAAAAUUUUUCAAAAUUUAUUAGACAAAGUUGAAAACAUUGAUAAAACCUAUGUGUCUAUUACUAUUGAACUUAUAUUACCAAAUAGGUAACCAGAAAACUCAAUAAAUUCAGCUAUUAUAUUAAAAUAUGCUCUUAGUGAGUAUUGGGAUAAUUUUUAUGAGACUUCAACUUCAAGAACUUUUUCAAAAAUACCUUGUUUGCGAUACAAUUUAAUACAUUUACAGCAAAUAACAAUUGCAAAAAUAUUUUUCAUAGGAUGGAUAAAAUAUUUUCCAGUAAAGCUUGUAUCAUCCUUUUUUGAAAAAGUAUUAUUUGGAUUUACUGUAUCUGACCUAAUUGAAGUAUUUUCACAAACAAACUAUGAAACUACUUUAAAAGAUUUUAAAAAUGUUGAUACAAACUAAUGGAUAUUUUAAGUGAUUUAAAUUGUAGAAAUAAUACAAAUAAUAAUUUUAAAAACAUAUUGGAAGAAAUUGCUCACAAAAAUUUAGGUACUAAAACCAAUGUUUAUAAUCGAUUGUUUUGUAGAAGAAUUAAAAGACUCAUCGCGUGAAAAAUAUAUUUAUUAUUAUUUCAUUACUAUUGAAAUAUUUGAAACUUUAAAUAAUAUGAAACCAAGUUCUUAAAAUGUUGUACCUAGUCUAAUUAAAUUUUAAUUUACGGAUUUAUAUACAACAAUGUCGUUAAGUAAUAAUUGUUACAAAUUUAAUCUUGUACCUAUUUGCUAAGCUUGAUUCGCCUAUCAAUUUAUGAUGGUUGUAAGUUAUUAAUUUAUAAUAAAUGUUCAGGUCUAACUGUGAGUGAACUUAAAUGUGUCACUUUGGAGAAUCGUCAUCUAAAAUGUAUUCGUAAAUCUUUUAAUAAUGAUCAAUGUGAUAUCCCCAAAUUGAAACAUUUAAUUAAUAGUCUAUUAAUUUAAGUUAAUGAUCUUAAAACUCAAAAACCUACAAUUUUGGAUCACAUCAUUUUAAAGAUUUCAUACUUAAUGAAAUGAACAUGACUAUUGGACCAAAAUAAAAUCUAUCCGAUGAAGGCUAUAUUUUCUUCAACAGUCGAUGUUAUUAUAUAUUUUAAAAUCAAAGAAAAAAUAGAUUAUCAUUACAAUCUCCUUUCAUCAUUUGUAUCAGUUCUGACUGUAUACUUUUCCAAAAAAAUUUCCUGAUGAAUUAAAGUUUCGAAGAAAUAAUGGAAAAGUACAUUUAAUUAUUAAGUUUCUAUAAGAUAAACCAAAAAUCGAUUUCAAGAAUAAUCGACCUAAUACUUGUGAUUUUAAUUCUUUAAAUUAUUUUUUAUAAUUAAUAUUUUUUACCAGAAUAUGUUUGGUGUUCUAGUAAUAAUUCCUUUUUUACGUAAUACUUUAUCAAUUGUUUAUUAUGGUAUAAUUUUUUUAAAUGAAAAAUGGUUAAAUAAUAAUGUACUUGAUGAGGAAAUUAGUUUUACAAAAUAUAAUUUAUAAAGAGAUAAUUGAAAUUUAACUUGUAGAAUCUUAAUCGCAUGGUGGUGGUGUAUUAAUUGCAGCAAAUAAUUAAAUAAAUUGUCAAUUAUUAAAUGUUGCUGUUGUUGUUGGAUUUGAACAAAUAUUUUUAAAACUUACAUAGUUAGUUCUGGAGUACCUCAAAGUUCACAUCUUGGACCCCUUUUAUUUACAUCAUUUAUAAUAAUGAUUUGUCUACUAUUUUUAAUAGCUCUGUAUAUACUAUAUAGUCAUCUAUUUUCCUAUUAUUCUAAAUUAUUUUCAUUCUUCAUUACCGCUAUAGAAACUAGUACCUACUAAUUUUUUAUAUAUUUUUUUGAUAUAAUAUAUAUAUAUGUGAUAUGUCAAAUUCAUGAAAUGACUAGCAGUAAUAUAUUUAGGUAACUUAAUAAUAAUAAUUUCUA
This is a long non-coding RNA of Rhopalosiphum padi (bird cherry-oat aphid), 3468 nucleotides long. RefSeq lists it as uncharacterized. The record is from RefSeq and is a predicted model, not a curated record. The transcript is spliced from 5 exons. NCBI's taxonomy places the organism in Eukaryota, Metazoa, Arthropoda, Insecta, Hemiptera, Aphididae.